CAGGCCUUGACAUGCAGAGAACUUUCCAGAGAUGGAUUGGUGCCUUCGGGAACUCUGACACAGGUGCUGCAUGGCUGUCGUCAGCCCGUGUCGUGAGAUGUUGGGUUAAGUCCCGUAACGAGCGCAACCCUUGUCCUUAGUUACCAGCACGUUAUGGUGGGCACUCUAAGGAGACUGCCGGUGACAAACCGGAGGAAGGUGGGGAUGACGUCAAGUCAUCAUGGCCCUUACGGCCAGGGCUACACACGUGCUACAAUGGUCGGUACAAAGGGUUGCCAAGCCGCGAGGUGGAGCUAAUCCCAUAAAACCGAUCGUAGUCCGGAUCGCAGUCUGCAACUCGACUGCGUGAAGUCGGAAUCGCUAGUAAUCGUGAAUCAGAAUGUCACGGUGAAUA
RNAcentral lists this ribosomal RNA (394 nucleotides) under uncultured Pseudomonas sp. RNAcentral's name for it is "bacterial SSU rRNA". It matches the Rfam family "Bacterial small subunit ribosomal RNA", at positions 975 to 1368 of the family's 1533-position model. Lineage: Bacteria; Pseudomonadati; Pseudomonadota; Gammaproteobacteria; Pseudomonadales; Pseudomonadaceae. The record is from RNAcentral.